GCUGAGCUCUGUAACGAGAGCUUGUAACCCGAGUGGGGGCAUGUGGGUGAUGCGGACGGCAGUGUCUGGUCAGACGGGUUGAGCCAGCGGGCUGUGUUGUCGGCCCGCCCAUUCCGAGUGUAGAGUUGGGCCAAGGUGUCCAUGCGGAAGCUUGGGCUUCUUGGCCCGUAGAGUGGAGAGCACCGCGUGAGGCUGGUUUGACAGAGCAGCGAGAAUCUCCCGCUCUUUGCGGUGGAAGGAUAACGGGCCGUUGCUUAGCGGGUUUAAAGAGCCCAUUGAUCAGCUCCAACCGGACCAUCACCUUU
Molecule: signal recognition particle RNA, 305 nt
Filed under: Ipomoea nil (Japanese morning glory)
Lineage: Eukaryota; Viridiplantae; Streptophyta; Magnoliopsida; Solanales; Convolvulaceae
Description: Plant signal recognition particle RNA
Rfam family: Plant signal recognition particle RNA
Source: Rfam by way of RNAcentral